RNAcentral lists this ribosomal RNA (97 nucleotides) under Periophthalmus magnuspinnatus. The record is from RNAcentral. Lineage: Eukaryota; Metazoa; Chordata; Actinopteri; Gobiiformes; Gobiidae.
CUUUGUGGUCAGACCUGCUUGUCUCAGAAGCUAAGCAGGACCAGGCUUGUUUAGUACUCGGAUGGGAGACUGCUGUUAAUACCAGGGACCACAAGGG